RNAcentral lists this ribosomal RNA (253 nucleotides) under uncultured bacterium. Its description in RNAcentral is "partial 16S ribosomal RNA". It matches the Rfam family "Bacterial small subunit ribosomal RNA", at positions 524 to 776 of the family's 1533-position model. The record is from RNAcentral.
UACGGAGGGUGCGAGCGUUGUCCGGAAUCCUUGGGCGUAAAGGGUGCGUAGGCGGCCCGUUAAGUCAGUGGUGAAAGCCUCCAGCUCAACUGGAGAACUGCCAUUGAUACUGGCGGGCUUGAGUACAGACGAGGUUGGCGGAAUUGAUUGUGUAGCGGUGAAAUGCAUAGAUACAAUCAAGAACACCGAUUGCGUAGGCAGCUAACUAGGCUGUAACUGACGCUGAGGCACGAAAGCGUGGGGAGCGAACAGG